This 204-nucleotide long non-coding RNA is filed under the name Elaeis guineensis (African oil palm). RNAcentral describes it as "long non-coding RNA (EGUI_LNC034445)". Lineage: Eukaryota; Viridiplantae; Streptophyta; Magnoliopsida; Arecales; Arecaceae. The record is from RNAcentral.
GGUGAGGUUGAUUUGAAGAAUGGUGGAUGGUCAACCUUGGGGGGGGGGAGUAGCGGCCCUUGGCUGAACCCUUCCUGAAUGCGAUCCAUCAAAUUAUGGUUGAGGGUUUGACUUGCACCAAGGGAGGUUAGAUGGCGUAUAUUGUCUAUUAGAUCUGGCUUUCCAAAAUAACCUAGUCUUUGUAGUUGAGGUUAUAUCUGUGCA